CGUACACUCCUGCGGGAGGCAGCAGUGGGGAAUUUUGGACAAUGGGCGAAAGCCUGAUCCAGCCAUGCCGCGUGCAGGAUGAAGGCCUUCGGGUUGUAAACUGCUUUUGUACGGAACGAAACGGCCUUUUCUAAUAAAGAGGGCUAAUGACGGUACCGUAAGAAUAAGCACCGGCUAACUACGUGCCAGCAGCCGCGGUAAUACGUAGGGUGCAAGCGUUAAUCGGAAUUACUGGGCGUAAAGCGUGCGCAGGCGGUUAUGUAAGACAGUUGUGAAAUCCCCGGGCUCAACCUGGGAACUGCAUCUGUGACUGCAUAGCUAGAGUACGGUAGAGGGGGAUGGAAUUCCGCGUGUAGCAGUGAAAUGCGUAGAUAUGCGGAGGAACACCGAUGGCGAAGGCAAUCCCCUGGACCUGUACUGACGCUCAUGCACGAAAGCGUGGGGAGCAAACAGGAUUAGAAACCCGGGUAGUCCCAUG
RNAcentral lists this ribosomal RNA (478 nucleotides) under uncultured organism. RNAcentral describes it as "partial 16S ribosomal RNA". It matches the Rfam family "Bacterial small subunit ribosomal RNA", at positions 330 to 799 of the family's 1533-position model. The record is from RNAcentral.